Pseudophryne corroboree (corroboree frog) is the source of this 1120-nucleotide long non-coding RNA. RefSeq lists it as uncharacterized. The record is from RefSeq and is a predicted model, not a curated record. NCBI's taxonomy places the organism in Eukaryota, Metazoa, Chordata, Amphibia, Anura, Myobatrachidae. The transcript is spliced from 3 exons.
CUUCAUAUUUCUACAGUAUGAAAGAGACGCAGCACAGCUAGGCCACAACCCACACUGCCAAGAGAUGCAGAUGCUGGCGAUGCAGGUCCUUCUCCAUCGAACACCCCUCCACUAAGACGACCAUCACAGGGCUCGGAUAGUCUCCAUAAGAUGGGUACCAAGAGACGCCGUCUUUAGGCGGAAUCUCCACCCGCAUCCUCACCACCACAACGGCGCAUCUCUACUGUGUCGGCCCAGCCACCACAAGCCAUUUUGGCCAGUCCACAAAGCGAGGAACCACAAUCCAAUCAGCUGUCUGAACCACCCAUCAUGCCCAAGGAUACCCAGCAGGAAACUGACUUGCAGGAAUCGUACACACUACACCUGCAAGCGAUUGAUCCAAACCAGCUAACCACGCUGCAGGACAUAACCCAACAACCCCAAACAUUCCACAGCCCCCAAUUGAGCCCAACACCACCCCAGCCACAAAUGGGCCCAGAGAUUUGGUCCAGUGGGGCCACACAACAGGCACAACACUAUGCCUAACAAGGGAGAAAGAGAAGGCUCUUGUAUUUUCAUUAAAAAAAUUCUUUGCGACCUGUGCUCAAUCGCCCUAUGCUUUUGACAACACUAUGCCUGUCUGAACACCCGCAGCCAAUACCUUGCCAGUCUGCCCCAUCAUCUGCCUAGACUCAGUCGGAACUCAGGCAGACUGAUUGUUCAAGUUGGCAGAGUAGCAAAUUCUAUGGAGCAGAUGAGGGCAGACAACAGCCAAAUGCAUGCAAAUUUACAAAGAAUAAUGGAUGACCAACAGCGGCAUCAACAAGCCCUCAUACAAAUUAUACAACAUAACCAAUUAAUAAACGAAAGCCUCUCCCGAGUCAUUGCCAACAACACUGCCGCAACUACACAACUCACAGCAAGCCUCAACAACCUGAGCAAAAGCAUAAAUGUGUUGGCAUCCCACCAACUAAGCUCAAGCUCAGGAACAGCCACACCUAGCCAGACCCCAGUUACCUCCCCAGUUAGACGAUCCAGCAGAACCAGGACCAAUGAGCCAUCCCAAUACUCGGCACCCAGCAAACAAAGAAAUAAUCAAGGCUGCAGCAACAACUACAGUAUGUUCUUAGAAAAUUACUAA